GACGGGUUAGCACAGCUGGUGAGAGCUUGGUGCUAAUGACACCAAGGUCAUGGGUUCUCUCCCAUUACAGGGCA
This is a non-coding RNA of Cnephaeus nilssonii (northern bat), 74 nucleotides long. The record is from the annotation of a GenBank genome assembly. NCBI's taxonomy places the organism in Eukaryota, Metazoa, Chordata, Mammalia, Chiroptera, Vespertilionidae.